This 253-nucleotide ribosomal RNA is filed under the name uncultured bacterium. RNAcentral describes it as "partial 16S ribosomal RNA". It matches the Rfam family "Bacterial small subunit ribosomal RNA", at positions 524 to 776 of the family's 1533-position model. The record is from RNAcentral.
UACAGAGGGUGCAAGCGUUAUCCGGAUUUACUGGGUUUAAAGGGUGCGUAGGCGGUCAGGUAAGUCUGUAUUGAAAUCAUCUCGCUUAACGAGAUAAUUGGUACGGAUACUGCUUGACUUGAAACAAGCUGAGGUUAGCGGAAUGUGACAUGUAGCGGUGAAAUGCUUAGAUAUGUCAUAGAACACCAAUUGCGAAGGCAGCUGACUAGACUUUGUUUGACGCUGAGGCACGAAAGCGUGGGUAUCGAACAGG